GAAAUGCGAUAAUUAAUGUGAAUUGCAGAAUUCAGUGAAUCAUCGAGUCUUUGAACGCACAUUGCGCCCCCUGGUAUUCCGGGGGGCAUGUCUGUCCGAGCGUCAUUGCUGCCCUCAAGCACGGCUUGUGUGUUGGGCUUCCGUCCCUGGCAACGGGGACGGGCCCAAAAGGCAGUGGCGGCACCAUGUCUGGUCCUCGAGCGUAUGGGGCUUUGUCACCCGCUCCCGUAGGUCCAGCUGGCAGCUAGCCUCGCAACCAAUCUUUUUAACCAGGUUGACCUCGGAUCAGGUAGGGAUACCCGCUGAACUUAAGCA
RNAcentral lists this unclassified non-coding RNA (315 nucleotides) under plant metagenome. RNAcentral's name for it is "partial contains 5.8S ribosomal RNA, internal transcribed spacer 2, and large subunit ribosomal RNA". The stretch from base 1 to 105 matches the Rfam family "5.8S ribosomal RNA", at positions 50 to 154 of the family's 154-position model. The record is from RNAcentral.